AAUGGGGGAAACCCUGACGCAGCAACGCCGCGUGAGUGAUGAAGGCUUUCGAGUCGUAAAACUCUGUCUUCGGGGACGAUAAUGACGGUACCCGAGGAGGAAGCCCCGGCUAACUACGUGCCAGCAGCCGCGGUAAUACGUAGGGGGCAAGCGUUGUCCGGAAUCACUGGGCGUAAAGGGCGCGUAGGCGGUUUGUUAAGUCAGGUGUGAAAGUUUUCAGCUUAACUGGAAAAGUGCACUUGAAACUAACUUACUUGAGUACUGGAGAGGUAAGCGGAAUUCCUAGUGUAGCGGUGAAAUGCGUAGAUAUUAGGAAGAACACCGGUGGCGAAGGCGGCUUACUGGACAGAGACUGACGCUGAGGCGCGAAAGCGUGGGGAGCGAA
This 385-nucleotide ribosomal RNA is filed under the name uncultured bacterium. RNAcentral describes it as "bacterial SSU rRNA". It matches the Rfam family "Bacterial small subunit ribosomal RNA", at positions 370 to 772 of the family's 1533-position model. The record is from RNAcentral.